UGGGGAAUUUUGGACAAUGGGCGAAAGCCUGAUCCAGCAAUGCCGCGUGUGUGAAGAAGGCCUUCGGGUUGUAAAGCACUUUUGUCCGGAAAGAAAUCCUUGGCUCUAAUACAGUCGGGGGAUGACGGUACCGGAAGAAUAAGCACCGGCUAACUACGUGCCAGCAGCCGCGGUAAUACGUAGGGUGCAAGCGUUAAUCGGAAUUACUGGGCGUAAAGCGUGCGCAGGCGGUUUGCUAAGACCGAUGUGAAAUCCCCGGGCUCAACCUGGGAACUGCAUUGGUGACUGGCAGGCUAGAGUAUGGCAGAGGGGGGUAGAAUUCCACGUGUAGCAGUGAAGUGCGUAGAGAUGUGGAGGAAUACCGAUGGCGAAGGCAGCCCCCUGGGCCAAUACUGACGCUCAUGCACGAAAGCGUGGGGAGCAAACAGGAUUAGAUACCCUGGUAGUCCACGCCCUAAACGAUGUCAACUAGUUGUUGGGGAUUCAUUUCCUUAGUAACGUAGCUAACGCGUGAAGUUGACCGCCUGGGGAGUACGGUCGCAAGAUUAAAACUCAAAGGAAUUGACGGGGUCAUAGCUGUUUCCU
This 585-nucleotide ribosomal RNA is filed under the name uncultured bacterium. RNAcentral describes it as "partial 16S ribosomal RNA". It matches the Rfam family "Bacterial small subunit ribosomal RNA", at positions 355 to 1375 of the family's 1533-position model. The record is from RNAcentral.